This 497-nucleotide ribosomal RNA is filed under the name uncultured bacterium. RNAcentral's name for it is "partial 16S ribosomal RNA". It matches the Rfam family "Bacterial small subunit ribosomal RNA", at positions 28 to 507 of the family's 1533-position model. The record is from RNAcentral.
GGUGAACGCUGGCGGCGUGCCUAAUACAUGCAAGUCGAGCGAACAGACGAGGAGCUUGCUCCUCUGACGUUAGCGGCGGACGGGUGAGUAACACGUGGAUAACCUACCUAUAAGACUGGGAUAACUUCGGGAAACCGGAGCUAAUGCCGGAUAAUAUAUUGAACCGCAUGGUUCAAUAGUGAAAGACGGUUUUGCUGUCACUUAUAGAUGGAUCCGCGCCGCAUUAGCUAGUUGGUAAGGUAACGGCUUACCAAGGCAACGAUGCGUAGCCGACCUGAGAGGGUGAUCGGCCACACUGGAACUGAGACACGGUCCAGACUCCUACGGGAGGCAGCAGUAGGGAAUCUUCCGCAAUGGGCGAAAGCUUGACGGAGCAACGCCGCGUGAGUGAUGAAGGUCUUCGGAUCGUAAAACUCUGUUAUUAGGGAAGAACAAAUGUGUAAGUAACUAUGCACGUCUUGACGGUACCUAAUCAGAAAGCCACGGCUAACUACGUG